This is a long non-coding RNA of Rattus norvegicus (Norway rat), 1770 nucleotides long. RefSeq lists it as uncharacterized. Lineage: Eukaryota; Metazoa; Chordata; Mammalia; Rodentia; Muridae. The record is from RefSeq and is a predicted model, not a curated record.
UUCAUCUCUUCUGGGAUUUCAGCUGCCUCGACCCUGUGUUUACGGGUGCUAUACCAACACUGGGAGUUGAUCUGUCGUGUCCUACAUAUGGUGUCACUAACCUACUCAGUGAACAUCACAUUUACAACACACAGAGAUAGCAGGCAUAAAGGUGAAUGGGGAAAUGUGGUGAAUUGGAGAGGAGUUGAAAGGGAAGGAUUGACUCCAAACACAUUAUAUGUAUGUAUACGUAUUAAAUAGAAUAUUUUAAAUAAGUCCAUAUAAUGUGCUGUUAACUACAAAAUAGCAAGUUUGGGAUAGCAGAAUCAACUGGGGAGUAUGUUUUUCAUUUUGAAUCCCUGUUAUUGCUCUGAGUUGUGCAGAUGUUCUGGCUUGAAGGGAGGCUGGACAGAGGCCUGACUAUUUCCUGGUGUCUGCUGACUUAUGCGGUGUAAAUACUCACCCCAUGACCAACUACCCACCUCUUGUCAUUGCCCGGGGCCUUAGGAAAAAUUGUCAAAAACUGAUUUUCCUAAGCCAGUGGGCGUUAGCUACUGCAGUGUUGGUGGGUGGAGAAGAAUGAGAGGUGGUGACUGAGAAGGACCUGGAAAUAGGCGUUAUAAUUUAAGUCACCGGAGGGAGAGACACGACACUUGUCGGGAGUACAGAAAACCCCUGGAAAACAGUGAUCCUCAGAGGGAGAAAAGGAAGGAAGAGGCCCCCAGUGACAAGCCACAAGCAGCCAUCUACCUGACAGACCAGCACGAAAGAAGGCACUCACAUUACUUUCUUCCUAUCUGGGACAAGUGAGCGAUGGAGUGUGGACACAUUUCUUAAAGAAGACAGAGACCAUUACAGUUUGCCGCAACUAAUCAAAAUUCGGAGAGCAGCUGGCAACGGGGUAUCUCUCACCAAUCAACGCACCUACAACACAACCCCUGCACCUAAGGGACAUCACAGAAGCGGGGACAGAAAGAUUUUGAAAGCCAGAUGUGUACCUGCUGUGAGAUAUGCAUCAGGGUCUCUGCAUCCAUGAACUUUCAGCAACGUGGUUGCAAAAGCAAGACCUGAGUAAUGACAUCAUCAGCUGCCACAACCAUGUCGAUGUGGAGGGCACAGAUCUCAUGGGUCCUCACCACUAGAUGAAGAGCUACAGGCAAGCAGUGACUAUGGAGAGAGGGGGACUUAGUCUGUCUCAGAAACAAGGCAUAAAAACAUCUAUUUAUAAGCAACAAUAAAUGAACUCAGCAGGUAGCCUUUAUAUAUGUAUUUGAUUGUAUGUAUCUACAUACGCAUGUGUGUUAGUAAUAAUUAAAUAAAAAGAGGUCAUGAAUUUGACAAAAAUGGGGGACACCCAGGAGGACUUGGAGGGAGGAUAGGGAAAGGGGAAAAUUAUGUAAAUGUAGUAUGCAUGUAAAGUUUUUGGAAAAAUAAGGAAUUGUUAAAGGUGAUUAAUCUAUUCAUGUGAACUUUAAAGGCUUCAAAUUCGGAGGGGCUCUGUUACCAUCAUCAUCAUCAUCAUCAUCGUAGCUAUUAUUAUUGAUGUUGUUGUACAUAUAAAAUAUUUGUAAUUUCAGUUUGGAUUCCUGGGACAGCCCAAGGUUUGUAGCUCCAUCUUCUGUGACGAUCACGUGAAUUGAGGCUCGUUGCUACUAUAUACUUACUUCACACACAUAUUUAUGAGGAAAAAAAUUUCCUGUACAAACGUCCACAUAGAAUUGAAGAUUGUUAUUACCAAAAGCAGUGAUUUCCAGCUGUGAUUGUUUAUAAAGGUCCUCUGUUCAAUAUUAA